Molecule: ribosomal RNA, 1753 nt
Filed under: uncultured eukaryote
Lineage: Eukaryota
Description: partial small subunit ribosomal RNA
Rfam family: Eukaryotic small subunit ribosomal RNA
Source: RNAcentral
CUGGUUGAUCCUGCCAGUAGUCAUAUGCUUGUCUUAAAGAUUAAGCCAUGCAUGUGUAAGUAUAAAUAGUAUACAGUGAAACUGCGAAUGGCUCAUUAAAACAGUUAUAGUUUAUUUGAGAAUGUUUUUAUAUAUGGAUAACCGUAGUUCUAGAGCUAAUACAUGCUGUAAACCUGACUUUUGGGAAGGGUUGUAUUUAUUAGAUCCCAACCAAUACUCUUUCGGGAGGAUUGUGAUGAUUCAUAAUAACUGGUCGUAUGAAGGCUUGGCCUUGAUAGAUCAUUCAAGUUUCUGCCCUAUCAGCUUUCGAUGGUAGUGUAUUGGACUACCAUGGCAGUCACGGGUAACGGGGAAUUAGGGUUCGAUUCCGGAGAGGGAGCCUGAGAAACGGCUACCACAUCUAAGGAAGGCAGCAGGCGCGUAAAUUACCCAAUCCUGACUCAGGGAGGUAGUGACAAGAAAUAAUAACUCGUGGAACUUUUAGUUCUUUCGAGAUUAGAAUGAGAAUUUAAAAUCCUUAUCGAGGAACAAUUGGAGGGCAAGUCUGGUGCCAGCAGCCGCGGUAAUUCCAGCUCCAAUAGCGUAUAUUAAAGUUGUUGCAGUUAAAAAGCUCGUAGUUGAACUUCUGACUGUCAGAAGACCGGAUUUAUCUGGAAAUUUUCGCAGUCCUCCGUCAGAGAACUUCUGUCGUCCUUUACUGGUCGCUGGUGGUAUUUGGCAUUUUACUUUGAAAAAAUCAGAGUGUUUCAAAGCAGGCCCUAGCCUGAAUACAUUAGCAUGGAAUAAUGGAAUAGGACGCUGUCCAUUUUGAUUGGUUAUUGGAUUGGCGUAAUGAUUAAUAGGGACAGUUGGGGGCAUUUGUAUUUAAUUGUCAGAGGUGAAAUUCUUGGAUUUAUUAAAGACAAACUUAUGCGAAAGCAUUUGCCAAGGAUGUUUUCAUUAAUCAAGAACGAAAGUUAGAGGAUCAAAGACGAUCAGAUACCGUCCUAGUUUUAACUAUAAACUAUGCCGACUCGGUCUCCGUCAAGCCUCUUUAACUUGAAUGGGUGCCGUAUGAGAAAUCAAAGUCUUUGGGUUCCGGGGGGAGUAUGGUCGCAAGGUUGAAACUUAAAGGAAUAGACGGAACAUCACUACCAGGUGUGGAUCCUGCGGCUUAAUUUGACUCAACACGGGGAAACUUACCAGGUCAAGACAUAGGUGGGAUUGACAGAUUGAGAGCUCUUUCUUGAUUCUAUGGGUGGUGGUGCAUGGCCGUUCUUAGUUGGUGGAGUGAUUUGUCUGGUUAAUUCCGUUAACGAACGAGACCUUAACCUGCUAAACUAGUCGCCUUCUUACGAGAUGGUUGACUUCUUAGAGGGACUAUGUGUGCAAGCACAUGGAAGUUUGAGGCAAUAACAGGUCUGUGAUGCCCUUAGAUGUCCUGGGCCGCACGCGCGCUACACUGACACGUUCAACAAGUUCUAUCCUGGCCCGAAAGGGUUUCGGGUAAUCUUGGCAGUACGUGUCGUGCUGGGGAUCGAUCUUUGAAAUUAUAGAUCUUGAACGAGGAAUUCCUAGUAAGCGCAAGUCAUCAGCUUGCGCUGAUUACGUCCCUGCCCUUUGUACACACCGCCCGUCGCUCCUACCGAUUUCGAGUGAUCCGGUGAACCUUCUGGACCAACGUUCCCCUCGAGGGAACGAUGGGAAGUUAAGUAAACCAUAUCACUUAGAGGAAAGAGAAGUCGUAACAAGGUAUCCGUAGGUGAACCUGCAG